AAUCGAGUUUCCGUAUGCGGUUUAUUACAUUUUGAGCUCAAAGCAGUGCUGCUAUAGUUGAUUUCCAUGCCAUACUGAGGGUAAAUCGAUCAGAUAUAAGCAGAAGAGGUUGAUUGUCACAUUUGGUCAAAGCUGGAGUGAUUGUGCAGGCGACGCUGCUCUGCUUUUGCCCUUUCAGGUAAUCCAUUUCGAGGUUGGCGUGAAUGGAUUUGUUUUUGGAUCUUUUUCUGCAGUAAGUUUCCAUUGUUACGAAUAUUCUGAUGCAAUUAUGUGCUAGGAAUACUUAUUUGAUAAUCCAACUAAUCACUCAAAAGAAUUAGAUAUUUGGAAAUCUAAAGGUUUGUUCUAUGACAUCUGUAUUUGUCGCAAUAAGUGUUAUUAGUAUUUGCUUUUCAAAAAUAAGUCAUCUAGUUAACAAAUAAAGCCAUCGAUUAUUAGAAUAGUUAUUACUUUCAGUUGAUGGUUCAUGAAGUUAUUUAUAAUUUCUUAUAUUGCUUGGGUAGUAAAUUAGGUAAGUGAAUAAGUUGAAUGUAUUGGGCUCAGGGAGUUGAAUGUAUUCUUCUGCUUCGUUUUUUUUUUUUGGGCAAUCACACUAGGCAAAUGCCUAGGGCUCGACUUUAUUAAUAAUCAAAAAGAAAAUUACAACAAUUAGGAAAAUUAAAAUAAGGAUUAGCACCGGUGUUGUUACCCAUAUAACACAACCAGUGUAAACCUUAUCCUAAUAAUCCUAUUGAGGCAAAUAAAAACCUCACAUAUUAGCAAGCAUGUAAAAAGAAAGAACUAGCAAGAACUAAGAAUUUGUUAAUCAUCACAAAGUUUAUAACGUACUAUGUAAUGAUAUUACAAAUUAUGAUACUAAUGAGAUGAUAAUAAUGAGAUGAAGAAACCACCUUGGUGUUCUCUUUUUUCUAGAUUUGUGAAUACUUCCAUUUGUAGAUUGAUAUCUUCCUCCACAAUAUUUUUCAAAAAUACUUCAAAGUUCAUGGUUUUUUUAUCAAACGAUUGGCCUUUGAUUGAUUGAGCUGUUUUUGUUUUGCAUUUCUCUCACAUUUUUUAUCAAUCGAUUGGCCCUUGAAGCUAUUGUUUGAUUGAGCUGUUUUUGUUUUGCGUUUCUCAUUGGGGGUCUCCUUAUUAAAUCGCCUUCUAUCACCCUGUCGUCCCAACUUCUAUUCCUUGCACGCGGGUUGGUACUUUUUCCACUAUGCAAUGGUGAUAAAUCACCAUUUUUUGAAGUGUCUGUCCAGCAUUUCUGUAAAAUAUCCUCUUCCUCUCCUUCUUCAUAUAUAUGUCUACUUGUUGAAAUUGGAUUUGGCAUAUCUUGAAAAUUGCCUUGACUUAGCAAUGUUGUUUCAGCUUGUACAUUUGCCGAAAUUGCCUUGUUUUGAAUUUGUUUUUGCGAUUUGUUCCUACUCAUAUUUGCACGGCUUGAACUGGAAUUAUCAAGGGCUAGAGCAUCUGUAAUUUAUCUUCGCAUCCAAAAUUUGUCUUUCUUCUGAAGAGAAUAAAGGAUUAUUUGUUACGAAGUGUCUUUCAUCGUCUUGCUGCUGUUCAGAACUAUGACUUAAAACCAAAGGUUGGCUCGUUCCAUCGACAUGAUUCCUCUGCUCUAAAAUACUUGCUGGUUCAGUUGUGACCAAAAGAUUUUGUCCAGUUUUUUUUUCGAGCAGAAGCAUUUUUGUCUGCUGAAUGUUGGUCUGGUUGGAUGUGAAUUCCUGUUGCUAUUUUGUCGAUCUUUGGUAUUGCUGUAUUUGAACUAACUGCUUUUGCAGUAUUUGUUGGAAGAAAAACUAGAGCGUUAUGGUUCAACUUGCUGAUUGAAUUUGCUGUAGUUACCACAGAUGCACGACAAUUCAGAUUGGUCUGCUUUGAUAAUGCAGGUCUCCCGUUGAAGCUUGCUCUAUUUGCCGCAGAUGUACGCCAAUUCAGAUUGGUCUGUUUUCAUGAUGCAGGUCUCCCAUUGAAUUUUUGUUUGAUUGGAGCGUCAAAGUCCUCUCCUGCACUAUCCUGAUCAGUUUGUUGAUCGUCUUCUUCGGUUGAAAAACCAGCAAAACCAACUCCCCAUCCCACAUCAUCAUCAUACUCUCGUUGGUCUUUCCACAGUUUCAAGUUAAUGACAAUCUUCCUCAUGUUUGCUUGAAUUAUUGCUUUGUUACUACCAAAAGAGAUUGCUGGUUGUCCAUAUUGUUGUUGCUCGUCAGUUGAUUCAAAUGAUUGAUGCAGUGAGGCCAAAGAUUGCAUGAACUUAGGAACAUUGGACAUCAUUUUAUCCUGUGUAUCUUUGGUGACAGUUUGAUCCGUUG
Molecule: long non-coding RNA, 2300 nt
Filed under: Nicotiana benthamiana
Lineage: Eukaryota; Viridiplantae; Streptophyta; Magnoliopsida; Solanales; Solanaceae
Description: long non-coding RNA (NBEN_LNC023467)
Source: RNAcentral